AUGUCAGAGAACUUCACAUUAUGUUCCACAAUGUAUCUAGAAACAAGAAAACAUUCAAACACACUGAAAGAGACCAAGUAGAGGAAGCACAAUAAAGAAGGAACAGCAAAAACAGCCUGGCUUCCCCCAUUACCUUGCUUUUAAUGAAUCCUAGACACUACAGUUCAAUUCAAGCAAUCACAAAUAAAAGAUGGACUGUGAAAAAAAGGAGAGAGAGGACAAUUGUAAAAAUCUUUUGGACAGGAUUACUUUUAUGAAAAGCAAUAUCGAGCAGUUACGCUUUUCUGCAAAUAUACAGCUGUUAGCUGUUGUUUUUCUUCCCAGACAAAAUUUUGACUUUUUGCUAGAAAACCAAAAGUUGGAACCCACGAACUUUUUGAGUCUUAAAAAUGCUGUGUUGGAUCCUUCAAGAAUCCAUUUCACUCUGGGAUCUGGGACCCCCGGCCUUACCACGCCUUUCAUGCUGCAGCCAGGACCCUCUUUUUGUUGAGACAUUUGGUAACGUCAUGGGAGCUAUAGCGCAUCCCAGGAGAUGCAGUUCAGUUGGAUGCACAGCCCACAGGAAAGAACAGGUGGGAAUCACAAGCUACAAUUCCCAUGAGAGGAGGUAGCAUUUUUUAAAUGAACAAAAAGUGCUUUACAGUUUGAAACAGAAACAUUUUCAAAGGUUUGAGAUGUUCAGUUUUUCAAUGAAUAGUCAAGAUUUUCCACAGGAAAAAAAAAAGGCAUGGACCAUGGACAUUGAGGAAUAUAGGGCACAGGACUGGGUGUUGUGGGUCAGGAAGAGAUUUCCUGUUAUGAUCAUAUAAUCCCU
Molecule: long non-coding RNA, 814 nt
Organism: Alligator mississippiensis (American alligator)
Lineage: Eukaryota; Metazoa; Chordata; Crocodylia; Alligatoridae
Exons: 3
Source: RefSeq, a predicted model, not a curated record